CUCUUCUCUUUGCCUACGACAACAUUCAGACCAACCAGCACCACAAUUACUAUUCCACCCCCCAGAACUACUACUCGACCUCCCAAACACACUACGCCACCCCUCAGAACUAAAGCAGAUCCUUCUGUGGAACGAUCUAGUCUGAGGUUUGGCUCAGCCAGGACAUCGAGCAAUGCUUUAUGGUCGUCUUCCCCCUCAAGUCAAUUUAUCUGCCCACAUUGAUGCGGCAGGAAUUUAAAGGGACCAUAAGGUGAUGGGGGGGAGGUUUAUUUGGACCAGCUUUUCCGAUGUUCUCAUUUCUGAAAACCAUCCAUCCCAUCACCCAACAUUGGUGCAAUGAACUCCUCAGAGCCUUCAGCACAUGGACUCCCCUCUGUGAGUUGGGAUGUGCUUUUUGCACUUAUUGUGGGCCUGUAUUUCAUAUUUGGAUCAGUUGGAGUAGUUGUAGGCCAGAAUGUGGUGUUGGUGGUGGCGAGAUUUUUCCAUUUUUGGAGAGUACGCUUUUUAUAUUCCAUCAUCAGAGCACGAACGCCUAGUCCAUCCGAGACGAUCAAGUGAAAGCAUUCUGGAUCUGUCAGUACUAGGAUCCAACGUGCACUGAUGUUAACAUGUGACUCUUUCUUGAAUUCCUUUAUUGCGUUGCCAAGGAGCCCGUGCUUAAAUCCAAGGUAGUACAUUUCCACGCUUCCCAAAGACAAAGACACCCGGUUCCUACAAUCCCAGAACCGUCGACUGAGAUAUAGUGUGAUAAGUGUGACGAGGAAGACUAACUCUACUUACAUCCUCUAAUAUUUUGUAUAUCAUUCUCCAGGGAUGCCUGAAAUGGUGCCAUCGUAUGAUUUUCCUAGCCGAAAACAUGUCGCACAGAAUUAAUGUUUGUAUUGAACAUGCUUCAUAAGCUUUAUAUCAUCAUUCCUCUAUAUUUGUAUUUCAGGAGCGCGAUUGGUCAGCAAUCGAUGUCCCAUGUCCAGCUUAAAUGAAGAAGCCCUUUCCAUUUCCCUAAAAAAAUAAUAAUCAUUUUGUGUUUUAGCAAAAAAAUAUAUAAAUGUAAUCCCCUAAUUUGCUGCUUCAUAUGUUAUGAGCUGUGUACAAGAUAAUACCAGCAAUCAUUUGGCUGAAGCAAUCAUUAGUUGUGUAAAUAUUAUAUAUGGGCAGCUGUGGGAUUGAAACUCCAUAUGCACCUGCUGUUAUUGGAUUUAUUUUUAAAAUGUGUUUUAAAUUGCAUCUUGCAGGGUUUUGUGUAUGCUGUAUGAAAAAAAGCGGAUGAUUUUAAUUGAUUUGGAUGUUUUAAGUCAGCCUCGUGUCUCAUAUCCUUGCUUUCUGCCAGCUAAUGUGUAGCAAAGCUUUUCAGUUAUGAGAGAUCUUAAGCGUUAAUUGAUGGCAAUGUUAUGCGUUUGAUCGAAUGCUGAUUGGGUUCAUUUCCUGACAAACCGCAGACAGGAUGGGGCUGUGUAUGAGUUGGUUGGUUUGUUUUAUUUUUCAUCUUUAUUAAUUUAUAAAUGUGAGUCUGGUCUGAAAAAUGUUACUGUGAAAUUUAUAUCAACUCUUGAAUCUCGCAAAAGAGCAAAGCCUUUGUUUUUUUUUGUUUGAGGCCAAUGAAUGUAACCCGUUUACCCAUGUUCAUAGUUCAUUAAAGAUGUACACAAGCACUACCAUAAAAAAAUAAAGUU
Long non-coding RNA from Sinocyclocheilus rhinocerous, 1670 nucleotides. RefSeq lists it as uncharacterized. The record is from RefSeq and is a predicted model, not a curated record. The transcript has 2 exons. NCBI's taxonomy places the organism in Eukaryota, Metazoa, Chordata, Actinopteri, Cypriniformes, Cyprinidae.